RNAcentral lists this ribosomal RNA (301 nucleotides) under uncultured bacterium. RNAcentral's name for it is "partial 16S ribosomal RNA". It matches the Rfam family "Bacterial small subunit ribosomal RNA", at positions 509 to 807 of the family's 1533-position model. The record is from RNAcentral.
CAGUAGCCGCGGGAAUACGUAGGUGGCAAGCGUUGUCCGGAAUUAUUGGGCGUAAAGGGCUCGCAGGCGGUUUCUUAAGUCUGAUGUGAAAGCCCCCGGCUCAACCGGGGAGGGUCAUUGGAAACUGGGAAACUUGAGUGCAGAAGAGGAGAGUGGAAUUCCACGUGUAGCGGUGAAAUGCGUAGAGAUGUGGAGGAACACCAGUGGCGAAGGCGACUCUCUGGUCUGUAACUGACGAUGAGGAGCGAAAGCGUGGGGAGCGAACAGGAUUAGAUACCCCCGUAGUCCCUGUCUCUUAUAC